UGAGCUACACACGGACAAACAAAAUAAAAAAGUCAUCUCGGUGCACAAGAUAGUCGAUAGAGUGAGCAGAACAAGACAGGGCAACCUUGAGCAGGUGUAAAGGACAGUUUGAAGAAGGACACAGGCUCCUGUGUGUGACCUAUCGUCUGUGGCCCCGGGAGAGCGGCUCUGCUUUGGCCCAAUGCAGAGAUCAUCUAUCAGUUGCUGUCACAUGAGGACGUGUGUCUGUCUGUUCUGCACCAAUUCUCUGAUCCAGCAUCAGUCUGCUGAAGGCCUCAAGCAUUCAUCACCCUGAAACCCAGCAGGCCUUUCACACUGUCCCACUCCUCUGAUUCUGCCUCUUCUCC
Molecule: long non-coding RNA, 347 nt
Organism: Sinocyclocheilus anshuiensis
Lineage: Eukaryota; Metazoa; Chordata; Actinopteri; Cypriniformes; Cyprinidae
Exons: 3
Source: RefSeq, a predicted model, not a curated record